GACGAACGCUGGCGGCGUGCCUAAUACAUGCAAGUAGAACGCUGAAGGAGGAGCUUGCUUCUCUGGAUGAGUUGCGAACGGGUGAGUAACGCGUAGGUAACCUGCCUGGUAGCGGGGGAUAACUAUUGGAAACGAUAGCUAAUACCGCAUAAGAGUAGAUGUCGCAUGACAUUUGCUUAAAAGGUGCAAUUGCAUCACUACCAGAUGGACCUGCGUUGUAUUAGCUAGUUGGUGAGGUAACGGCUCACCAAGGCAACGAUACAUAGCCGACCUGAGAGGGUGAUCGGCCACACUGGGACUGAGACACGGCCCAGACUCCUACGGGAGGCAGCAGUAGGGAAUCUUCGGCAAUGGACGGAAGUCUGACCGAGCAACGCCGCGUGAGUGAAGAAGGUUUUCGGAUCGUAAAGCUCUGUUGUAAGAGAAGAACGAGUGUGAGAGUGGAAAGUUCACACUGUGACGGUAUCUUAACAGAAAGAGACGGCUAACUACGUG
This 495-nucleotide ribosomal RNA is filed under the name uncultured bacterium. RNAcentral describes it as "partial 16S ribosomal RNA". It matches the Rfam family "Bacterial small subunit ribosomal RNA", at positions 28 to 507 of the family's 1533-position model. The record is from RNAcentral.